CAAAGCACUGCGAUUACACGCGAGAGCCACCGCGCCCAGCCAACACAGGGCCUUUUUUGAUCCCGCAGUUGUCCCAGACAGACCCUAACCUCAGAUGGGUGCACUGGGGGGCUGCAGCCUAGCUGGACAACCUCACUCAAGGUUGGCGACAGGGUGCAGGGGUGCAGACAGGCAGGUCCUGCAAACUACCCAAAGGCCUGCUUCUUCCUCCUCAGAGCUGGCAUCCACUCCGGUUCUGGGUCUCAUUUCCAGCGUAAUGGCUCAAAGACAAAGAAAGAAAGAAAACAAGCCCCAACCCCACAACCAGCUGAGGCGGCCCCUCCUGGCCACCCUUUGAUGUUUGAGGACUGAACAAUGGGGCUGAUUGCAGAUGAGAGAUUUGAAGCCAUCUUAAUUAGAAGGAAAGAAUGUCCUCGUGGUCGGCUGUUCUAAAAAUACAGCUGUGCCCACAUCUGGAGGGAAAGGGUGGGGGCCUGGGAGGUGGGGACGGUGGUUAGGCCAGAGUCUGAAGCACUGAUGCCUGCAUUCCUUGGGGCGGAGGGGGCCUCUAAGCAGGGCCUCUUGGAAGGGGGUGGGGAGAUGCCACAGCAGCCAGUCCGCUGUGGCUGGACCACCUUCUGCAGGUUUGGGAUGCGCAAGCAGUGGGACAGGUGUGCCUUCCUGCGUCUGCCCUCACCAAGGAAGCCCUCCCCGUGCCGCAGCCUCGGUUUUCUCUUCUCUCCAACGGGGCAACCAAAUUGGUCAUUUGUUUGCAUUUCAAAUACUCACUUUGCGACCUAAUCUUGCAUUUGUUUUGCAUUUUUUUUUUUUUUUGAGACAGAGUUUCACUCUUGUUGCCCAGGCUGGAGUGCAAUGGCACGAUCUCAGCUCACUGCAACCUCCGCCACCUGUGUUCAAGCAAUUCUCCCGCCUCAGCCUCCCGAGUAGCUGGGAUUAUUACAGGAGCCUGCCACCACACCCCACUAAUUUUCGUAAUUUUUGUAUUUUUAGUACAGAUAGGGUUUCGCCGUGUUGGCCAGGCUGGUCUUGAACUACUGACCUCAGGUGAUCCGCCCACCUCGGCCUCCCAAAGUGUUGGGAUUACAGGCAUGAGCCACCGCGCCCGGCUGUUUUGCAUUCAUUUUCUUAAAGAGGCCCCCCAGUCUCAUGAAAGUGAAGGGCAUUGGAGGGCUGGGUGAGUGUUUGGAGGAGGACGUGGAGGCAGGGGCCCUGGUGGUGUCACUGUGAAAGGAUGGGUCACCUGGGUUGUCAUCUCAGCCCACCGUUAGGAGCCUCCCAUCCCAGCGGCUGGACAAUCACCUGGCACGGGGAGCAUGCCCCUCACUCAUGGGAGCAGGGCCUGGCUGCUUGGUGGGGCUAUCAGUGGAUGCAAGCCAGUGGAGGUGGGGUGAACCAAGGCCUUUCUUUCUUUUUUUUUUUUUGAGACGGAGUUUCGCUCUUGUUGUCCAGGCUGGAGUCCAGUGGCACGAUCUCAGCUCACCGCAACCUCCGCCUCCCGUGUUCAAGCGAUUCUCCUGCCUCAGCCCCCCAAAGAGUUGGAACUACAGGCAUGCACCACCAUGCCCAGCUAAUUUUGUAUUUUUAGUAGAGACGGGUUUCUCCAUGUUAGUCAGGUUGCUCUAGAACUCCCGACCUCAGGUGAUCUGUCAGCCUCAGCCUCCCAAAGUGCUGGGAUUACAGGCGUGAGCCACCGCACCUGGCUGAACCCAGGCCUUUCUGAACCUCUCCUUCCACCAGACCCAUGGCUCUGAGUCACUAGUCCUGGGCAAGGCCUUCCAGAGUGGUGGCCCCAGUCCCUAAAGAUUAGUUUUGUUUUCGUAGAGAUGGAGUGUCACGCUGUUGCCCAGGCUGGCCUCGAACUCCCGGGCUCAAGCAAUCCUCCUGCCUCCGCUGGGACUACAGCCACACGCCAC
Molecule: long non-coding RNA, 1913 nt
Filed under: Homo sapiens (human)
Lineage: Eukaryota; Metazoa; Chordata; Mammalia; Primates; Hominidae
Description: HSALNT0405165
Source: RNAcentral